This 646-nucleotide ribosomal RNA is filed under the name Acarospora glaucocarpa. RNAcentral describes it as "SSU rRNA". It matches the Rfam family "Bacterial small subunit ribosomal RNA", at positions 405 to 1097 of the family's 1533-position model. The record is from RNAcentral. Lineage: Eukaryota; Fungi; Ascomycota; Lecanoromycetes; Acarosporales; Acarosporaceae.
GUAUUAAUUAUUAGUUAAUGCAAGAUCGACUAUGUCGAACUAAAGUUCUAGGUAGAAUAAUGAUGAUGACAAUUUUCUACCUAUAUGUCUUGACCAAAUCUCGUGCCAGCAGUCGCGUAAUACGUGAAAGACUAGUGUUAUUCAUCUUUAAUAGGUUUAAAGGGUACCUAGACGGUAUUUUUAGCCCAAAACAGGGUACGGACUUACUAGAGUUUUAUGUGAGAAGGGGAGUACUUGUAGAGUAGAGAUGAAAUUUUGUGAUACUAUGAGGAAACUGGUGGCGGCGAACGCAACCUUCUAUGUAUAAAACUGACGUUGAGGGACGAAGGCUUGGGUAGCAAAUAGGAUUAGAUACCCUAGUAGUCCAAGCAGACAAUUCUGAAUGCCAUAGAUUAGAUUAUUUUUGGUCUAUAAAUGAAAGUGUAAGCAUUCCACCUUAGGAGUAAUGUGGCAACACAGGAACUGAAAUCAUUAGACCCGUUUCUGAAACCAGUAGUGAAGUAUGUUUAUUUUAAUUUUGAUAGUCCUCAAAAAAACCUUUACCAACAACUUUGAAUUGUUUAUUUAAAAUUAAAUAACAAAGCGUUUGCACGGGCUUGUUCUUUCAGUUUAAUAUAUCGGUGGAGAUUUUUGGGUUUAAACCUCC